GAAGCUUGCUUCCUAUGAAAUCGAAAGGCAAACGGGUGAGUAACGCGUAAACAACCUGCCCUUCGGAUGGGGAUAACAGCCGGAAACGGCUGCUAAUACCGAAUACGAUCUUUUCGUCGCAUGACGAAAAGAAGAAAGGAUGGCCUCUAUACAAAGCUAUCGCCGAAGGAGGGGUUUGCGUCUGAUUAGCUGGUUGGAGGGGUAACGGCCCAACAAGGCGAUGAUCAGUAGCCGGUCUGAGAGGAUGAACGGCCACAUUGGGACUGAGACACGGCCCAGACUCCUACGGGAGGCAGCAGUGGGGAAUCUUCCGCAAUGGACGAAAGUCUGACGGAGCAACGCCGCGUGAGUGAAGAAGGUCUUCGGAUUGUAAAGCUCUGUUAUACGGGACGAAAAAGACGGAUGCCAACAGUAUCCGUCCGUGACGGUACCGUAAGAGAAAGCCACGGCUAACUACGUGCCAGCAGCCGCGGUAAUACGUAGGUGGCAAGCGUUGUCCGGAAUUAUUGGGCGUAAAGGGCGCGCAGGCGGUUCGGUAAGUCUGUCUUAAAAGUGCGGGGCUUAACUCCGUGAGGGGACGGAAACNNNNGAACUUGAGUGUCNNA
Molecule: ribosomal RNA, 605 nt
Filed under: uncultured bacterium
Lineage: Bacteria
Description: bacterial SSU rRNA
Rfam family: Bacterial small subunit ribosomal RNA
Source: RNAcentral